CUGCUAUCGGAUGAUACUAAGCCAUGCGAGUCUUUGUAGUAAUACAAGGCAGACGGCUCAGUAACACGUAGUCAACCUACCCUAUGGACAAGAAUAAUCUCGGGAAACUGGGCAUAAUUCUUGAUAGAUCAUAAUGCCUGGAAUGGUUUAUGGUUAAAAUGAUUCGUCGCCAUAGGAUGGGACUGCGGCCUAUCAGCUUGUUGGUGAGGUAAUGGCCCACCAAGGCGAUUACAGGUACGGGCUCUGAGAGGAGAAGCCCGGAGAUGGGUACUGAGACACGGACCCAGGCCCUAUGGGGCGCAGCAGGCGAGAAAACUUUGCAAUGUGCGAAAGCACGACAAGGUUAAUCCGAGUGAUUUCUGCUAAAGAAAUCUUUUGCCAGUCAUAAAACCACUGGUGAAUAAGGGGUGGGCAAGUUCUGGUGUCAGCCGCCGCGGUAAAACCAGCACCUCAAGUGGUCAGGAUGAUUAUUGGGCCUAAAGCAUCCGUAGCCGGCUUUGUAAGUUUUCGGUUAAAUCCAUGUGCUCAACGCAUGGGCUGCCGAAAAUACUGCAUGGCUAGGGAGUGGGAGAGGUAGACGGUACUCAGUAGGAAGGGGUAAAAUCCUUUGAUCUAUUGAUGACCACCUGUGGCGAAGGCGGUCUACCAGAACACGUUCGACGGUGAGGGAUGAAAGCUGGGGGAGCAAACCGGAUUAGAUACCCGGGUAGUCCCAGCUGUAAACGAUGCAGACUCGAUGAUGCAUUGGCAUAAUAGCCAGUGCAGUGUCGCAGGGAAGCCGUUAAGUCUGCCGCCUGGGAAGUACGUACGCAAGUAUGAAACUUAAAGGAAUUGGCGGGGGAGCACCACAAGGGGUGAAGCCUGCGGUUCAAU
Molecule: ribosomal RNA, 873 nt
Filed under: uncultured marine group I thaumarchaeote
Lineage: Archaea; Thermoproteati; Nitrososphaerota
Description: SSU rRNA
Rfam family: Archaeal small subunit ribosomal RNA
Source: RNAcentral